Capra hircus (goat) is the source of this 450-nucleotide long non-coding RNA. RefSeq lists it as uncharacterized. The transcript has 4 exons. NCBI's taxonomy places the organism in Eukaryota, Metazoa, Chordata, Mammalia, Artiodactyla, Bovidae. The record is from RefSeq and is a predicted model, not a curated record.
GGAGAAUGGAGAACCCAUUACAUUGCAUCCAGUAACAUUGCGAAGAUCACUGAGAAUGGGCCAUUUCACAUUUAUGCACGUUACAUUCAGUUUAAUGCAGACAACACAGUAGAUGUCGACUUUUAUAUCAAGUCAAACGGAGAAUGCAUAAAAAAACACGAAACAGCAGAAGCAACGAAAUUUCACUUAUACUGCUGGAUAUGACUGUCCAGAGGAGUGAACGAAAGUGACUUGGAUACAGACACUUUUGAAGAGUCCCUGAGACAAGACACAUCCUCACCUCCGUGAAAUCAACAUCAACAAUACGAAGAGGACCUUCUUGGUUCCUGAUUAACAUGAUCCUUCUCUCUUCACACUCACACUUCCUCUCCCAUCUCAUCUUUCCUGGUCACUAAAUCACAUCCUGUCUGGUGGUAUUUGAUUUCUGAGGGUUUAAAUAAACUGAUUUAA